AUUGAACGCUGGCGGCAGGCUUAACACAUGCAAGUCGAGCGGGGAAGGGUAGCUUGCUACCUAACCUAGCGGCGGACGGGUGAGUAAUGCUUAGGAAUCUGCCAUUUAGUGGGGGACAACAUUCCGAAAGGAAUGCUAAUACCGCAUACGUCCUACGGGAGAAAGCAGGGGAUCUUCGGACCUUGCGCUAUAUGAUGAGCCUAAGUCGGAUUAGCUAGUUGGUGGGGUAAAGGCCUACCAAGGCGACGAUCUGUAGCGGGUCUGAGAGGAUGGUCCGCCACACUGGGACUGAGACACGGCGCAGACUCCUACGGGAGGCAGCAGUGGGGAAUAUUGGACAAUGGGCGGAAGCCUGAUCCAGCCAUGCCGCGUGUGUGAAGAAGGCCUUAUGGUUGUAAAGCACUUUAAGCGAGGAGGAGGCUACUUAGAUUAAUACUCUAGGAUAGUGGACGUUACUCGCAGAAUAAGCACCGGCUAACUCUGUGCCAGCAGCCGCGGUAA
RNAcentral lists this ribosomal RNA (501 nucleotides) under uncultured bacterium. RNAcentral's name for it is "partial 16S ribosomal RNA". It matches the Rfam family "Bacterial small subunit ribosomal RNA", at positions 30 to 523 of the family's 1533-position model. The record is from RNAcentral.